UUUAGAGCCGGGAUGAUCCAAUAGGAUGAUGUAUGACAAUGUUAUUGUACGCAUCAAGAGUCAUAAAAUCAUCCAAAACUGGUGCAGUGCAUUGCCCUGUGAAUAACUUGCAAGCCACCUUGUACAUUCCCUUCUUGAAUUUCUCCUUUCCAACUUCUCUCUCAAUCCUAGCCAUUUCAUCCUCAACCACUCUUCCAAACAGGUCUAAGUUCACUUUCACCCCAAGUCCAUCUCCAUCCAAUUCCACUCCAUAGUUCAGCCACUGCCAAUUCUGAACUCGGCUAAUCUCAGCUGUUGCAGCAUCCUCCAUGAGGUUGUAAAGUGGAACAGAACCAGCCCCUGUCAGCCAAGCUGCCAAGUACUGAAUUCCCACUCGGGUGUUCAGCCGGAGGCCCUCCAUGGUUCGAACCCCUCUUGGACUCUGCAGCAGGUCUUCUUCAAUUAGGACCGAUGCAUCUUGACGCUUCAUGGAAUGGAUUUGGUUAGGAGCAUUUGUCAUGUUGUUGGUGAAGACUUCCAU
Molecule: long non-coding RNA, 520 nt
Organism: Solanum stenotomum
Lineage: Eukaryota; Viridiplantae; Streptophyta; Magnoliopsida; Solanales; Solanaceae
Exons: 3
Source: RefSeq, a predicted model, not a curated record